AUUGAACGCUGGCGGCAUGCCUUACACAUGCAAGUCGAACGGUAACAGGUCUUCGGAUGCUGACGAGUGGCGAACGGGUGAGUAAUACAUCGGAACGUGCCCGAUCGUGGGGGAUAACGGAGCGAAAGCUUUGCUAAUACCGCAUACGAUCUACGGAUGAAAGCAGGGGACCGCAAGGCCUUGCGCGGACGGAGCGGCCGAUGGCAGAUUAGGUAGUUGGUGGGAUAAAAGCAUACCAAGCCGACGAUCUGUAGCUGGUCUGAGAGGACGACCAGCCACACUGGGACUGAGACACGGCCCAGACUCCUACGGGAGGCAGCAGUGGGGAAUUUUGGACAAAGGGCGCAAGCCUGAUCCAGCCAUGCCGCGUGCAGGAUGAAGGCCUUCGGGUUGUAAACUGCUUUUGUACGGAACGAAAAGACUCUUUCUAAUAAAGAGGGUCCAUGACGGUACCGUAAGAAUAAGCACCGGCUAACUACGUG
RNAcentral lists this ribosomal RNA (482 nucleotides) under uncultured bacterium. RNAcentral's name for it is "partial 16S ribosomal RNA". It matches the Rfam family "Bacterial small subunit ribosomal RNA", at positions 30 to 507 of the family's 1533-position model. The record is from RNAcentral.